GAUGAACGCUGGCGGCGUGCCUAAUACAUGCAAGUCGAGCGAACGGACGAGAAGCUUGCUUCUCUGAUGUUAGCGGCGGACGGGUGAGUAACACGUGGAUAACCUACCUAUAAGACUGGGAUAACUUCGGGAAACCGGAGCUAAUACCGGAUAAUAUUUUGAACCGCAUGGUUCAAAAGUGAAAGACGGUCUUGCUGUCACUUAUAGAUGGAUCCGCGCUGCAUUAGCUAGUUGGUAAGGUAACGGCUUACCAAGGCAACGAUGCAUAGCCGACCUGAGAGCGUGGUCGGCUACCCUGGCAGUGAGACACGGUGCAGACUCCUACGGGAGGCAGCAGUAGGGAAUCUUCCGCAAUGGGCGAAAGCCUGACAGAGCAACGCCGCGUGAGUGAUGAAGGUCUAAGGAUCGUAAAACUCUGUUAUUAGUGAAGAACAUAUGUGUAAGUAACUGUGCACAUCUUGACGGUACCUAAUCAGAAAGCCACGGCUAACUACGUG
This 497-nucleotide ribosomal RNA is filed under the name uncultured bacterium. Its description in RNAcentral is "partial 16S ribosomal RNA". It matches the Rfam family "Bacterial small subunit ribosomal RNA", at positions 28 to 507 of the family's 1533-position model. The record is from RNAcentral.